Long non-coding RNA from Astyanax mexicanus (Mexican tetra), 1225 nucleotides. RefSeq lists it as uncharacterized. Lineage: Eukaryota; Metazoa; Chordata; Actinopteri; Characiformes; Acestrorhamphidae. The transcript has 2 exons. The record is from RefSeq and is a predicted model, not a curated record.
GCUCAUUGAGAACAUGACACUGCACAUCUUACUGUUCUGAUAAGAAUCUCCUUCCAUCUUGCAAACAAUCAUUCAUCCAAGAAUUGCCUAGUUUUCUUCCUCACUGCCGUGAUUUCAGCAGGCAGCAGCGAGCGCAUAUGUACCGGCCAUGUGGCUGUGGUCACAUGCUCGCCUCCGAGCCGGCCCGGGACCACCCUGCCUGCCCCCCCCCACCCACAGCAGACCACCUCUGAAAGCACAUGCAGGGUCAUGGCUAGGUGUAAGAAGACAACAGGGCUGUGGUGUGUGGGAGAAGAAAUUAGAGGCCAGCCUCACACCCAGCACUCUAAUCCGGCUUUUCAUCUGCUGGGUUUGGUGCGACAACUGGCUCAUGACGUCUUUUAAAAGACUAAAUACAAGGCAAAGUACGCAGAACCCUGAUCCGCUUGGGUCACUCAAUGUGGUCCAACAAAUCAGCGAGUUACUGAGUGCGUCACAAGUCUUGCUUUGGGUUCGAGUCCAAAACCCUUCAGUCAAGUAGAAAGAACAACACUGGAGCAUAAAGCUGUAUUCUACUACUCCCCCUCCACCCUUUCCUCAGUGGAACGCUGGCCAGCAAAGACAUCUGUUAGCUAGCUGACUCAACAGAACUGGGAGUUAGUGUUCUCCUCCAAGCAUGUUCAGACAUCCAGUGAUGUGUUAGUACUUCAUACUGUAUAUUUUAGUGUACUGUAAACUCUAGUCCAGUUUUCCAUUGAUCACUGACAAAAAAACUCUGCUCAGAGGUUAAUCGGGGGUCUCUCUGCGCUCGCUCAGUCCUGUAGUGUGAGCUACUGAAAGAUACUCGCUGAGCCGUCGCUGACUGAUUGCCAAUGAGUAGCAGAUGCGCAGCAUGCUAAAUAUCUGACCCAGUCGGCGACUGGGAGUCAAGAGCAGCAACUACCCACAGCCAAUGGGAUCCAGUAGAAAUAGAACCACGGCUCUAAAACAGACCUCCUGUUUUACCAGAGCUGUUUAUGGGGAGUCUGACCUUUUUCUCUCUCCCUGUUAGAUCACUGUUAAACACUAGAGGGAGCCCGCAAGUGAGCCCUAUAUGAAUGGGGGUAAAAGGAGAUGAAAGCUAAAAGUAGUAUUAAUGAGUAUUCCAUUAAUAUUAAAAAGAACAAUGAUGUAUUUUACUACAAAAGCAAAAAAAGCAUGCCUGUAUAUUACAUUUGUUCUACAGUAAACAAGUUUUACACAGUAA